CUAUUUUUGAAGGAUGAAGUGGAUAAUCUUCAGUCACUGGGAAAGGAUCGUAUGAAACACCAUCUACAUAAAGUGUCACUGCAGGAAAUUCAACAUUGAGGACAUAAUGGUGCCAUUCUUUGUCACAAACUUGGUUUAGCUUCCAGUGGAAUUCUGCAGGCUUGUAUGUCUUUCCCUCUGAAGGAUCUUGUCGGAAGAGGAAAACAAGGCGGCAGUUGUGCACAUACAGCGUGUAGUGGUGUCGAUUCAUAUCUGUCUUGUCUGAAUUGCAAAGAAUUGUCUCCUUCUCUUUGGUUCCAGGCCCA
This 305-nucleotide long non-coding RNA is filed under the name Gallus gallus (chicken). The record is from RNAcentral. Lineage: Eukaryota; Metazoa; Chordata; Aves; Galliformes; Phasianidae.